AUUGAACGCUGGCGGCAUGCCUUACACAUGCAAGUCGAACGGCAGCACGGGUGCUUGCACCUGGUGGCGAGUGGCGAACGGGUGAGUAAUACAUCGGAACAUGUCCUGUAGUGGGGGAUAGCCCGGCGAAAGCCGGAUUAAUACCGCAUACGAUCUACGGAUGAAAGCGGGGGACCUUCGGGCCUCGCGCUUUCGGGUUGGCCGAUGGCUGAUUAGCUAGUUGGUGGGGUAAAGGCCUACCAAGGCGACGAUCAGUAGCUGGUCUGAGAGGACGACCAGCCACACUGGGACUGAGACACGGCCCAGACUCCUACGGGAGGCAGCAGUGGGGAAUUUUGGACAAUGGGCGAAAGCCUGAUCCAGCAAUGCCGCGUGUGUGAAGAAGGCCUUCGGGUUGUAAAGCACUUUUGUCCGGAAAGAAAUCCUUGGCUCUAAUACAGUCGGGGGAUGACGGUACCGGAAGAAUAAGCACCGGCUAACUACGUG
This 486-nucleotide ribosomal RNA is filed under the name uncultured bacterium. Its description in RNAcentral is "partial 16S ribosomal RNA". It matches the Rfam family "Bacterial small subunit ribosomal RNA", at positions 30 to 507 of the family's 1533-position model. The record is from RNAcentral.